This 1395-nucleotide ribosomal RNA is filed under the name marine metagenome. RNAcentral's name for it is "bacterial LSU rRNA". It matches the Rfam family "Bacterial large subunit ribosomal RNA", at positions 1091 to 2443 of the family's 2925-position model. The record is from RNAcentral.
AGCUAGUAGGUUGGCUUAGAAGCAGCCAUCCUUUAAAGAGUGCGUAACAGCUCACUAGUCGAGGGUUCUCGCGCCGAAAAUGUAACGGGGCUAAAGCACAUCACCGAAGCCGCGGGACUUCCGUUUUAACGGGAGUCGGUAGGGGAGCGUUGCUAGCGCGUUGAAGUCAGACUGUGAGGUCUGGUGGAGUGCUGGGAAGUGAGAAUGCCGGCAUGAGUAGCGACAAUCCUGGUGAGAAUCCAGGACACCGAAAGCACAAGGUUUCCUACGCAACGCUGAUCGACGUAGGGUAAGUCGGGCCUAAGCUGUAGCGCAAUAGCGAAAGCGAUGGACAACGGGUCAAAAUUCCCGUACCACCGUUAUUUCGUUUUAAAGUAAAGGGGGGACACGGACAGGUAGGCGGAGCGUGCCCAUCGGACAUGGCACGUUUUCUGUUGUAGGCCAAGCUAAGAUAGGCAAAUCCGUUUUAGCGUUAUGAGCUGAGGGCAGAGAAAACUUCAGGGCUUAUGCCCAGGGGAAUUCCGUUGAUCCUAUGCCGUCAAGAAAAGCCUCGUUACUAGAAAUAAUGGUGCCCGUACCGCAAACCGACACAGGUGUGCAGGGGUAAAUGUCCCCAGGUGAACGAGAUAACCCUCGUUAAGGAAUUCGACAACUUGACCGCGUAACUUCGGGAUAAGCGGUGCCCGUAGGGUGAAAUCUGCUUGCCAGAUGGAGCCUUGGCGGGCCUCAGUGAACAGGCUCAAGCGACUGUUUAUCAAAAACAUAGGUCUCUGCUAAGCUGAAAGGCGAUGUAUAGGGGCUGACGCCUGCCCAGUGCCGGAAGGUUAAGGGGAUUGGUUAUUUUGGUUUCGACCAAAAGAAGCUGAGAACCGAAGCCCCGGUGAACGGCGGCCGUAACUAUAACGGUCCUAAGGUAGCGAAAUCCCUUGUCGGGUAAGUUCCGACCCGCACGAAUGGCGUAACGACUUGAGCGUUGUCUCAACGAGGGGCUCGGUGAAAUUGCAUGGCCGGUAAAGAUGCCGGCUACCCGUGACAGGACAAAAAGACCCCGUGGAGCUUUACUGUAGUUUGGCAGUGGUUCGGGGUUGCGGAUGUGUAGGAUAGGCGGGAGACUUUGAAACUCUAGCGUCAGCUGGAGUGGAGUCGCCCUUGAAAUACCGCCCUUCUGUGAUCGUGAUCCUAACCCCAUUAAAAUUGGGGGACCCUGCCUGAUGGGCAGUUUGACUGGGGCGGUCGCCUCCUAAAGAGUAACGGAGGCGCACAAAGGUUCGCUCAAGGUGGAUGGAAAUCACCUUUAAGAGUGUAUUGGCAUAAGCGAGCUUGACUGCGAGACCUACAAGUCGAGCAGAGACGAAAGUCGGUCAAAGUGAUCCCACGUUUCCGAGUGGAAGGGAC